CGUGCUAUAAUGCAGUCGAGCGAGGAGCCGUAUGAACCCUUCGGGGGGACGACGGUGGAAUGAGCGGCGGACGGGUGAGUAACACGUAAAGAACCUGCCCAUAGGUCUGGGAUAACCACGAGAAAUCGGGGCUAAUACCGGAUGUGUCAUCGGACCGCAUGGUCCGCUGAUGAAAGGCGCUCCGGCGUCGCCCAUGGAUGGCUUUGCGGUGCAUUAGCUAGUUGGUGGGGUAACGGCCCACCAAGGCGACGAUGCAUAACCGACCUGAGAGGGUGAUCGGCCACACUGGGACUGAGACACGGCCCAGACUCCUACGGGAGGCAGCAGUAGGGAAUCUUCCACAAUGGACGAAAGUCUGAUGGAGCAACGCCGCGUGAACGAUGAAGGCUUUCGGGUCGUAAAGUUCUGUUGUAAGGCAAGAACAAGUGCCGCAGGCGAUGGCGGCGCCUUGACGGUACCUUGCGAGAAAGCCACGGCUAACUACGUGCCAGCAGCCGCGGUAAUACGUAGGGGGUAAGCGUUGUCCGUGAAUUAUUGGGCGUAAAGCGCGCGCAGGCAGCCUCUUAAGUCUGAUGUGAAAUCCCCCGGCUCAACUGGGGAGGGCCCUUGAAAACUGGAAGGCUUGAGUAUAGAAGAGAACAGUGUACUUCCACGUAUAGCGGAAAAAAUGCGUAAAGAUGUGGAAUAACACCAGUGGCGAAGGCGACUCUUUGACCUAUAACUGACGCUGACGCGCUAAAGCGUGUGAGCAACAGGAUAAGAUACUCAUGGUAGUCCACUGCGUAAACGAUGAGUGCUAGGUAGUUAGGAGGAUUACUGCCCUUCAGUGCUGACACUAAGCUAAUAAUCACUUCUGUCCUUGGGGAGUACCGUGCGAGGCUUAUACUCAUUGGAAUUGACGGGACCCCCAC
Molecule: ribosomal RNA, 911 nt
Filed under: Exiguobacterium profundum
Lineage: Bacteria; Bacillati; Bacillota; Bacilli; Caryophanales
Description: bacterial SSU rRNA
Rfam family: Bacterial small subunit ribosomal RNA
Source: RNAcentral